This 253-nucleotide ribosomal RNA is filed under the name uncultured bacterium. RNAcentral describes it as "partial 16S ribosomal RNA". It matches the Rfam family "Bacterial small subunit ribosomal RNA", at positions 524 to 776 of the family's 1533-position model. The record is from RNAcentral.
UACGUAGGGGGCAAGCGUUGUCCGGAAUCAUUGGGCGUAAAGCGCGCGUAGGCGGCCCGGUAAGUCCGCUGUGAAAGUCGGGGGCUCAACCCUCGGAUGCCGGUGGAUACUGUCGGGCUUGAGUGCGGAAGAGGCGAGUGGAAUUCCUGGUGUAGCGGUGAAAUGCGCAGAUAUCAGGAGGAACAUCAAUUGCGAAGGCAGCUCGCUGGGACGUUACUGACGCUGAUGCGCGAAAGCGUGGGGAGCAAACAGG